Cydia pomonella (codling moth) is the source of this 569-nucleotide long non-coding RNA. RefSeq lists it as uncharacterized. The record is from RefSeq and is a predicted model, not a curated record. The transcript is spliced from 2 exons. NCBI's taxonomy places the organism in Eukaryota, Metazoa, Arthropoda, Insecta, Lepidoptera, Tortricidae.
UAUUUGCUAAACUAGUUUAAUAACGCUUGUAAGCUGUUGAGGAAAACACGCAACCAAGAAUAUAAGUAAAGUUAUAAAAUUAACUGACAUUACCUACUAAAGGGACCCACUGAUUACCAGUUCGCCGGACGAUAUCGAUAUUGUACAGAACAAUGCGUUGGCUGUUCGUACUGGUAGCGGCGAUGACGCUAGCCGUCGCUCUUACGCACCCCGCCCCCGAAGCAUACCCAAGAAAUAUGCAAAAAAGACCAGCUCAGGAAAACAGUAGCCCCACAGAUCUCAUCCCAAAUGGUUCUUCAGAAAGACUAAGAAGACAAUUAGGCGUAGUGGCCUGCAUCACCUGCCCUGGGUCCACGAGGUGCCUGGACGGUUAUAGGUACGUGGCUGGUGUAGGCUGCGUUCGUGUGAAGAAACAUAGAAAGUGAUAUUAAGAACUUAAAUGCAGUAAAAGCUAAGAGUGCAAAGUAUUGAAAAUACGUAUACCUUUUUGGAACAGUGUUGCCCUCGCUGUUAGUGCACGAAUUAGAAUUGUAGUUAUGGCAAUAAAGUGUCGAUGUAGAUAAUUUUAA